UGGUAGGAUAGAGGCCUACCAUGGUGGUAACGGGUAACGGGGUGUUAGGGCACGACACCGGAGAGGGAGCCUGAGAAACGGCUACCACAUCCAAGGAUGGCAGCAGGCGCGCAAAUUACCCAAUCCCGACACGGGGAGGUAGUGACAAUAAAUAACAAUACGGGGUUCUUUAGGAUCUCGUAAUUGGAAUGAGUACAAUUUAAAUCUCUUAACGAGGAACAAUUGGAGGGCAAGUCUGGUGCCAGCAGCCGCGGUAAUUCCAGCUCCAAUAGCGUAUAUUAAAGUUGUUGCAGUUAAAAAGCUCGUAGUUGAAUUUCGGGGUUAGUAGGUUGGUCAUGCCUCUGGUAUGUACUGGUCUCACUGAUUCCUCCUUCCUUAUGAACCGUAAUGCCAUUAAUUUGGUGUUGCGGGGAAUUUGGACUGUUACUUUGAAAAAAUUAGAGUGUUUAAAGCAAGCUAACGCUUGAAUACAUUAGCAUGGAAUAAUGAAAUAGGACGUUCGAUCCUAUUUUGUUGGUUUCUAGGAUUGACGUAAUGAUUAAUAGGGAUAGUUGGGGGCAUUAGUAUUCAAUUGUCAGAGGUGAAAUUCUUGGAUUUAUUGAAGACUAACUACUGCGAAAGCAUUUGCCAAGGAUGUUUUCAUUAAUCAAGAACGAAAGUUAGGGGAUCGAAGACGAUCAGAUACCGUCGUAGUCUUAACCAUAAACUAUGCCGACUAGGGAUCGGAUGA
This 730-nucleotide ribosomal RNA is filed under the name uncultured fungus. Its description in RNAcentral is "SSU rRNA". It matches the Rfam family "Eukaryotic small subunit ribosomal RNA", at positions 326 to 1060 of the family's 1831-position model. Lineage: Eukaryota; Fungi. The record is from RNAcentral.